RNAcentral lists this ribosomal RNA (434 nucleotides) under uncultured bacterium. RNAcentral's name for it is "partial 16S ribosomal RNA". It matches the Rfam family "Bacterial small subunit ribosomal RNA", at positions 29 to 506 of the family's 1533-position model. The record is from RNAcentral.
AGCGAACGCUGGCGGCAGGCUUAACACAUGCAAGUCGAGCGGGCAUAGCAAUAUGUCCGCGGCAGACGGGUGAGUAACGCGUGGGAACGUACCUUUUGGUUCGGAACAACACAGGGAAACUUGUGCUAAUACCGGAUAAGCCCUUACGGGGAAAGAUUUAUCGCCGAAAGAUCGGCCCGCGUCUGAUUAGCUAGUUGGUGAGGUAAUGGCUCACCAAGGCGACGAUCAGUAGCUGGUCUGAGAGGAUGAUCAGCCACAUUGGGACUGAGACACGGCCCAAACUCCUACGGGAGGCAGCAGUGGGGAAUAUUGGACAAUGGGCGAAAGCCUGAUCCAGCCAUGCCGCGUGAGUGAUGAAGGCCCUAGGGUUGUAAAGCUCUUUUGUGCGGGAAGAUAAUGACGGUACCGCAAGAAUAAGCCCCGGCUAACUUCGU